UCCGGUAUGGUGUAAUGGCUAACAUUGCCGCCUUUCAACCUAUUUCGCGGCAGCUCGGGGUUCGAUUCCCCGUACCGGAA
This is a non-coding RNA of Termitomyces sp. Mi166#008, 80 nucleotides long. The record is from the annotation of a GenBank genome assembly. Lineage: Eukaryota; Fungi; Basidiomycota; Agaricomycetes; Agaricales; Lyophyllaceae.